This 481-nucleotide ribosomal RNA is filed under the name uncultured Aspergillus. Its description in RNAcentral is "bacterial SSU rRNA". It matches the Rfam family "Eukaryotic small subunit ribosomal RNA", at positions 545 to 967 of the family's 1831-position model. The record is from RNAcentral. Lineage: Eukaryota; Fungi; Ascomycota; Eurotiomycetes; Eurotiales; Aspergillaceae.
UAAUUGGAGGGCAAGUCUGGUGCCAGCAGCCGCGGUAAUUCCAGCUCCAAUAGCGUAUAUUAAAGUUGUUGCAGUUAAAAAGCUCGUAGUUGAACCUUGGGUCUGGCUGGCCGGUCCGCCUCACCGCGAGUACUGGUCCGGCUGGACCUUUCCUUCUGGGGAACCUCAUGGCCUUCACUGGCUGUGGGGGGAACCAGGACUUUUACUGUGAAAAAAUUAGAGUGUUCAAAGCAGGCCUUUGCUCGAAUACAUUAGCAUGGAAUAAUAGAAUAGGACGUGCGGUUCUAUUUUGUUGGUUUCUAGGACCGCCGUAAUGAUUAAUAGGGAUAGUCGGGGGCGUCAGUAUUCAGCUGUCAGAGGUGAAAUUCUUGUAUUUGCUGAAGAGUUAGCAAUGCGAUAGCCCUCGCCAGUGAAAGUAUCGAGGGCAAGUCUGGUGAAACACUGCCUGCAGAGUGCGAGACGAAACAUACGACUGAAAUGA